GAUGAACGCUGGCGGCGUGCCUAAUACAUGCAAGUCGAACGCACAGCGAAAGGUGCUUGCACCUUUCAAGUGAGUGGCGAACGGGUGAGUAACACGUGGACAACCUGCCUCAAGGCUGGGGAUAACAUUUGGAAACAGAUGCUAAUACCGAAUAAAACUCAGUGUCGCAUGACACAAAGUUAAAAGGCGCUUUGGCGUCACCUAGAGAUGGAUCCGCGGUGCAUUAGUUAGUUGGUGGGGUAAAGGCCUACCAAGACAAUGAUGCAUAGCCGGGUUGAACGACGGAACGGCAACAUGGGACAGGGAAAACGGCCCCAACUCCUACGGGAGGCUGACAUAGGGAAUCUUCCACAAUGGGGGAAAGCCUGAUGGAGCAAGGCCGCGUGUGUGAUGAAGGCUUUCGGGUCGUAAAGCACUGUUGUAUGGGAAGAACAGCUAGAAUAGGGAAUGAUUUUAGUUUGACGGUACCAUACCAGAAAGGGACGGCUAAAUACGUGCCAGCCGCCGCGGUAA
This 513-nucleotide ribosomal RNA is filed under the name uncultured bacterium. RNAcentral describes it as "partial 16S ribosomal RNA". It matches the Rfam family "Bacterial small subunit ribosomal RNA", at positions 28 to 523 of the family's 1533-position model. The record is from RNAcentral.